UAGGGAAUCUUCGGCAAUGGACGGAAGUCUGACCGAGCAACGCCGCGUGAGUGAAGAAGGUUUUCGGAUCGUAAAGCUCUGUUGUUAGAGAAGAACGUUGGUAGGAGUGGAAAAUCUACCAAGUGACGGUAACUAACCAGAAAGGGACGGCUAACUACGUGCCAGCAGCCGCGGUAAUACGUAGGUCCCGAGCGUUGUCCGGAUGUAUUGGGCGUAAAGCGAGCGCAGGCGGUUCUUUAAGUCUGAAGUUAAAGGCAGUGGCUUAACCAGUGUACGCUUUGGAAACUGGAGGACUUGAGUGCAGAAGGGGAGAGUGGAAUUCCAUGUGUAGCGGUGAAAUGCGUAGAUAUAUGGAGGAACACCGGUGGCGAAAGCGGCUCUCUGGUCGGUAACUGACGCUGAGGCUCGAAAGCGUGGGGAGCAAACAGG
Molecule: ribosomal RNA, 429 nt
Filed under: Bacillota bacterium
Lineage: Bacteria; Bacillati; Bacillota
Description: Firmicutes bacterium partial 16S ribosomal RNA
Rfam family: Bacterial small subunit ribosomal RNA
Source: RNAcentral